AUUGAACGCUGGCGGCAUGCCUUACACAUGCAAGUCGAACGGUAACAGGUCUUCGGAUGCUGACGAGUGGCGAACGGGUGAGUAAUACAUCGGAACGUGCCCGAUCGUGGGGGAUGACGGAGCGAAAGCUUUGCUAAUACCGCAUACGAUCUACGGAUGAAAGCAGGGGACCGCAAGGCCUUGCGCGGACGGAGCGGCCGAUGGCAGAUUCGGUAGUUGGUGGGAUAAAAGCUUACCAAGCCGACGAUCUGUAGCUGGUCUGAGAGGACGACCAGCAACUAUGGGACGGAGACACGGCCCAGACUCAUACGGGAGGCAGCAGUGGGGAAUUUUGGACGAUGGGCGCAAGCCUGAUCCAGCCAUGCCGGGUGCAGGAUGAAGGCCUUCGGGUUGUAAACUGCUUUUGUACGGAACGAAAAGACUCUUUCUAAUAAAGAGGGUCCAUGACGGUACCGUAAGAAUAAGCACCGGCUAACUACGUGCCAGCCGCCGCCGUAA
Molecule: ribosomal RNA, 498 nt
Filed under: uncultured bacterium
Lineage: Bacteria
Description: partial 16S ribosomal RNA
Rfam family: Bacterial small subunit ribosomal RNA
Source: RNAcentral